UCAGGACGAACGCUGGCGGCGUGCCUAAUACAUGCAAGUCGAGCGGAUCUUUGGGAGCUUGCUCCCAAAGAUUAGCGGCGGACGGGUGAGUAACACGUGGGCAACCUGCCUAUGAGACUGGGAUAACUCCGGGAAACCGGAGCUAAUACCGGAUAAUUCUUUUCUACACAUGUAGAAAAGCUGAAAGAUGGUUUCGGCUAUCACUCAUAGAUGGGCCCGUGGCGCAUUAGCUAGUUGGUGAGGUAACGGCUCACCAAGGCGACGAUGCGUAGCCGACCUGAGAGGGUGAUCGGCCACACUGGGACUGAGACACGGCCCAGACUCCUACGGGAGGCAGCAGUAGGGAAUCUUCCGCAAUGGACGAAAGUCUGACGGAGCAACGCCGCGUGAGUGAUGAAGGUUUUCGGAUCGUAAAACUCUGUUGUUAGGGAA
RNAcentral lists this ribosomal RNA (432 nucleotides) under uncultured Bacillus sp. RNAcentral describes it as "bacterial SSU rRNA". It matches the Rfam family "Bacterial small subunit ribosomal RNA", at positions 24 to 446 of the family's 1533-position model. Lineage: Bacteria; Bacillati; Bacillota; Bacilli; Caryophanales; Bacillaceae. The record is from RNAcentral.